RNAcentral lists this non-coding RNA (148 nucleotides) under Chlorocebus sabaeus (green monkey). Lineage: Eukaryota; Metazoa; Chordata; Mammalia; Primates; Cercopithecidae. The record is from Rfam by way of RNAcentral.
GCUGGGUGUGGUGGUGGGCACCUGUAAUCCCAGCUACUCAGGAGGCUGAGGCAGGAGAAUCACUUGAACCUGGGAGGCAGAGGUUGCAGUGAGCUGAGAUUGCACCACUGCACUCCAGCCUGGGUGACAGAGUGAGACUCUGUCUCAA